RNAcentral lists this microRNA precursor (76 nucleotides) under Myotis davidii. Its description in RNAcentral is "mir-9229 microRNA precursor family". It matches the Rfam family "mir-9229 microRNA precursor family". Lineage: Eukaryota; Metazoa; Chordata; Mammalia; Chiroptera; Vespertilionidae. The record is from Rfam by way of RNAcentral.
GGAACCCCCCUCCGGGGAAAGACUUCCUUCAGUGGGGCUUUGGUGCUCACUGAGUCUGCCCCCUGGGUGUGUCCCU